Thunnus maccoyii (southern bluefin tuna) is the source of this 2030-nucleotide long non-coding RNA. RefSeq lists it as uncharacterized. The transcript is spliced from 2 exons. The record is from RefSeq and is a predicted model, not a curated record. Lineage: Eukaryota; Metazoa; Chordata; Actinopteri; Scombriformes; Scombridae.
CUUAAACUCUGGGUCAGAGUUACCAUGGUAACUUAAACUCUGGGUCAGAGUUACCAUGGUAACUUAAACUCUGGGUCAGAGUUACCAUGGUAAUGUAACCUCUGGGUCAGAGUCGGUAUGGAAGCUCGUCCGUUAGUGGAGCUUUACUGUCAGAAUCUGAAUCCUGGUCGGAUGUUAGUUUGUUUCUCAGGACUUUGUAAAGUUUUUAUGUUUCAGUCGUUUCUUUGAUCAGCGGUUCAAAUAUCAAUCAGUGUGAAUUGAUCUUCAGCUCAGAAUCAAAGCUCUUCACGUCCUUCUGUUAUAACUCUGAGACUCUGUCAGUCUGUCAGAGCAGCUGCUGACCUCUGAUCUUUAUUACACAUCAUGUUUCAUCUCAGUUUAAAUUUAAAUGAUCAGAACGAAGCUUCAGACACGUCGGAUCAAUGAAUAAUGAUCUCUGAUCGGUCCACUGAUGUAAUAUUGGAGAUUAUAUGUUAAUGUUUCUGAGUGAGCAGCAUCACUGAAUGAUGUUGAGCUGAGAUACAAACAGACGUCUGAACAUUUAACAUCUGCUGUAUUUUAAUAAUCAUCAAUCACAUUAUUAUUGAUCAGCCUGUGAGCUACAGUCACGUCUCUGUGUCUUUGAUCUAUUUAUGUUUUAAAUCUUCAGCUGCUGCUUCCUGUGUUUCCUCCGUCAGAUUCAAACUGAACACAUAUAUUUAAAUGUAAUGUAGCUGCAGCCUGAUACACAGAUUCCACUUUAUCAUCAAUAAGCAAAUGUGAGUCUGAUAAACGAUCAAUUCAGAUUAAUCUGAUUAAUUUCCCGCUCUGAUUCAGGCUCUUUGUUUAAAGAUAAAUGUGCAUCGUCUGCAUACACAUGCAUUAAUAUCUCUGGAGGCUCUGCCUUUUAUUAACCUGUUACCAUGGUGACUCGUAGUAUCAGAGCUCCAUUGAUCAUUGAUCAGCUGAUCAGUCAGAGUUUGUUAAACCUGCUUUCUGAGAAACAGAAAACUUUAAAACAUUAGCUGCUGGUGGAACUGGAGGCUCAAAUGAAAGACACGUCUAGAUGCAUCAUGGGAAAUGUAGGAUAUAGUGGAGUCUUCUGGAGUCUUAAUUACUGAAUCUUUGAUUUACACUAAUCAAUAAUAAAUCAACAAAUAAAGAUUCAGUCUUGUAAAAAUAAAAGGAUCCAGACGCCUUCUCGUUUUUGUGCUAAGCUAAGCUAAGCUAGCCAGGCAAACACGUGAUUGAUAAUUGGUUGAUUAGAAUGAUCAGUGUUCUGAUUGGACGCUAGGACGAGUUUCAGUCCGACGUGAUUGGCUGCGGCAGCAUGUGAAACCCAAAUGCUCACUUCCUGUUGGGUUGGGUCUGUCCAAACUGAGGCCAGGGGCCCAAACAGGGUCAAGAUCUGAGUCAGUGCGGUCCGGGCUCUACGGGGGGUCCAGGCCGAAGAAUUGAUCUCCAAUGGAAACGCACUACAGUUGCCAUGGAAACAAUGUUCCUACAUAUCAGGUCCCUGUAGUCUGGGAUCAGGCCUUCAUUCAGACUUUCUUUCAGUGUUUGAUCGGUCACUCUGAUCAGGUAUUAAACAUAUUGAUCACAUAUUGAUCACAUUCAGCCGUCGGUUUGAUCGUUUCUGAUCAGCUGACAUCUGAAUAAGGUUUCUCAUCGUCUCGUGUUUUGAUUGGUCGUUUUUAACGUGAUAGAUUCACAGCUGCUGGGUGUGGUCAUGUGACUGUGUUAAGCCAAUCGGAGCGAGUUUUCUUUAUUCAGACUUUGAGACGUGUGAAGCUCAGAGAUGUUUAGUGGUGACGGCGUUCCCGACGUCUCACUCGCUCCCUGUUUUCAGCCUCAGACCUCAGUCCAUCAACAGCAGACAGGUGAGACAGUUCUCGGCUGUCGGACUCUUUUUACCGUCUGUUUGCAGAUCAGAGAUUCUGAACUAAAACUGUUUGGACAAAAUAACGGAAACACGGACAGAAGAAAAGAGUCGACCUGUGUACAUGUUUUUUUUCUGAUGUUUUAAAUCUAUUAAUAAACUGUCAAACUUC